Long non-coding RNA from Megalops cyprinoides (Indo-Pacific tarpon), 1289 nucleotides. RefSeq lists it as uncharacterized. The transcript has 3 exons. NCBI's taxonomy places the organism in Eukaryota, Metazoa, Chordata, Actinopteri, Elopiformes, Megalopidae. The record is from RefSeq and is a predicted model, not a curated record.
CACUUGCAGGAGAAUGCUACAGACAUGCUGAAGCUUGCCUACACUGGGGAGGGCAGUUUGAGCAAACCUGUGGUGUCAGACCACAGUGCCCUCAGCUGGAUGAGGAUUGACGCUGCUGAUGUUCAAACUCAAACAGAAGUACAAAGUGGGAGCUUGAAUUUCAGAGACAUGUGUGAGGGAGGAGACUGGGAGGGCGUGACAUGUAUGUGGGGUAAGAGUGUAGCCAUUCAGACAGAGGGUGAGACUGGAGGGUUGGGAUUUGGAAAUCCUGCGGCUUCUGGUGGCAGUAGGGAAGUAUGUCAUACCAGCGUACAGACCGAGGCUCUAGAGAUCCAGGAGCUCCAUGAUUCAGUAGCAGGUAAAGAAGUGGACAUGGAAAGCACAGAUUCACUGCCGCUGUCACCCACGGGAGUGCUAGAAGGUGGGGCCGGGCUCCUGUUCUCCAGGUCCGUCCCCAUCCCUGCUGACCCAGCCCGUCUGGCUCAAAGGAUCCGGCAGAACCGGAACCGUAUGUCAGCCGCCUUCGACGACACAGAGUACGAACCCUAUGGGCUGCCCGAGGUUGUUAUGAAAGGAUUUGCGGACAUUCCCAGUGGCCCUGCAUGUCCCUAUGUCCUGAGGAGGGGCCUCUUGGGUAUGCACACCCUGCCUCUCUCUCUGAGAAAGCAGGCCGAGGAUGAGGGGGACAACCCUGACCCCAACCUCUGACCCUUGACAUACAGGGAAGACGCUUAGGGAUCGAUGGAAGGAUGCGACUCACCCCUUUACUGCAUGCACACCCUAUGAACAUGAGACUCAGGACCUCUGAUCGGAUUGCUAAUGGCUUCCCCUUCCUUGGACCCUCAUUCACAAGAAGGGAAUUAUAUUUACUCUCAUGGCCUAAUAGUUUUUGUUUCACUAUGGCAAGCAUAUGUAAAUAUGUAAAGGACAUGUGACUGCUAUGCUUGGUAUGUCCAACUAAAGACUGCCCUGGGGUCUGUUGUCUUGAAUUUUCAGUGAGGGAACAUUAAACACAAUCUGACCCAUCAAUACAACAGUAUUAGGGUGAGUUAGUGACUUUUUUAUAGAAAUAACCUUGUAAAGUAUGCUUAAAGUCAUACAAUUUAAGGUAUUUAAUGUAAUUUAUGUAGCGCAGGAGAUGGUUCACUAAACUUUAGUUACCCCAUGGUUAUAUAUGUGUGAAAGUAUGAUUAGAACUGAUGCAUAGAGCAUUUACAGAAUCUGCACUACGGUGUGACCUUACUUUAAUUUCAGAAUGUGUGCAGACGUGUGUGUGUGUGAGAGAGAGA